RNAcentral lists this ribosomal RNA (780 nucleotides) under uncultured Neocallimastigales. RNAcentral describes it as "partial large subunit ribosomal RNA". It matches the Rfam family "Eukaryotic large subunit ribosomal RNA", at positions 22 to 643 of the family's 3401-position model. Lineage: Eukaryota; Fungi; Neocallimastigomycota; Neocallimastigomycetes; Neocallimastigales. The record is from RNAcentral.
CAUAGCGACUAUCGUGGCAUAUCAAUAAGCGGAGGAAAAGAAACUAACUAGGAUUCCCCUCAGUAACGGCGAGUGAAGCGGGAAGAGCUCAAAUUUGAAAUCUUCAAGGGUUCUACCUUUACGAAUUGUAGUUUAAAGAAGUGUUUUCUGUUGGAGUUUUGGUAAAAGUUCUUUGGAAUAGGACAUCAUAGAGGGUGAGAAUCCCGUAUUUGACCAGUUACUUUCCAGCUGUGUGAUACACUUUCAAAGAGUCGGAUUGUUUGGGAAUGCAGUCCAAAAUGGGUGGUAAAUUUCAUCUAAAGCUAAAUAUUGGCGAGAGACCGAUAGCGAACAAGUACCGUGAGGGAAAGAUGAAAAGAACUUUGAAAAGAGAGUUAAACAGUACGUGAAAUUGUCAAAAGGGAAGCGUUUGACACCAGUGUUGUUUUUCCGAAAAUCAAUUACGAAUGUUUUGUUUUUGAGGAGUUAUGACUUCAUCGGCUUGCUCCUUUCUUUAUGAAACUUUCUUAAUGCACUUUUCGGUUAACAAGUCAACAUCAAUUUCUUUUGUUGUAAAAGGGUAUGAGGAAGGUGGCUUUCUUUUCGGAGAAAGUGUUUAUAGCCUUUGACCUCUGCAGUCGGAGAGAUUGAGGUACUGCAGCGUAGACUCCUUCGGGGUUAGAUACACUUGUGCUAAGCUAUAGCCUUGUAUAGACAACUUGUUGACUAUGCUCAGUCAUGUAGCUUACUCGCUUAUGCUAUUUUACCUACGCUUAGGAUGUUGAUAUGCAUGACUGAUAU